RNAcentral lists this long non-coding RNA (1464 nucleotides) under Homo sapiens (human). RNAcentral's name for it is "HSALNT0354274". The record is from RNAcentral. Lineage: Eukaryota; Metazoa; Chordata; Mammalia; Primates; Hominidae.
AGGUAAUGGAGCAGAGACUGGAGCAGAGACAAGUUGUUCCCACUGAGCUCUCCUCAGAUUACAGAUUGGUCCACUUACACACAGAUCUUCUUUCAUCUCUCCCACCCCUGAGACAGCAAGGCCAACUCCUCUUCUUCCACCUCCUCCUCAGCCUACUCAUCGUGAAGACAAUAAGGAGAAAGAUCUUCAUGAUGAUUCACUUCCACUUAAUGAAUAGGAGUGGCAAAUCAAAGGCAUUGCAGCCUCUUUCAUCACUGCCGAUUGCUGAUGCCAACCAUGUGCCAAGUGCUUAAUACGUCACCUUAAAUCUUCUCAUCCACCCUCAGAGUAGCUGCAGCAUCAACCCAGUGCCCUGACUUUCAAGACGACUAUGAAAACACCCCAACUGCUGCUAAAUUACCAGCAACAAGGAUCUGACAUUCUUAUUCAAAAGAAAGAACACCGAAAUUGACCUUACCCUGACAAUAUGAUGGCUGAAGGAUUUAUGAUCACUUAUAACAUUUGAAAUUGAGGCGGAACCUGAAGAAUAAGACUCUGGUGAAAGGUCCUAUUUAUGCUUUUGAUGUCUUUCACUUGGACAUUUACCACAUGCCUAUUGGUAGGUUUGUUACAUAGGUCAGUUAAGGUGAUACAAGAAUAAAUAAAACACUAUCCCUAUCCUUUAAUAUCAUUUAUUUAUGGGGUCAAUCACAGAUUUUCAUUUUUCAAAAUCUUUGAUAAAUGUCAGAAUUAUGUUUUUUAAUAUUUUUACAGAAUUAUUACAAUAUAUGGUAGAGGAUGGAAGGCAAGGUAGUAUGAAACGGAAAAGAUAUUUUGAAUUAAGGUAUUUGGACCUGGAUUAAUAUUUUUGCUUUGGUCUUUAUUAGCUGAGUGACCUUGAGAAAGUUCUUCUACUAAAAAAGAACAAAGAUAAUAAUUACUUCAUGAAAUUGCUGUAAAAAACACAUAACAAGUAUAUCCAGACUCAACAGUGUAUGCUCAAAAAUGCAGAUCCUUUUUCCCUUACCUGCAAAUAAAGUCUUACAGUAAUACAGUGGGGGUAAAGGUUUAAACUGGUGGAUUCAAGAAGGGCUAUAGAAAGAGGUAGCAUCUUAAUAGGGGAAGGAGAGGAUCCAAGAAAUCAGAUCCAUUUUCUACAAAAAGAAAUGGGAAGACAGAUAAUUCAAGAAGAAAAGUUUACAUGAUUAAAGACCCGAAGUUAGAAAUAGUGAUGUGUCUCAAUAGUAAGUUAGGAAUUGGGGUGGACACAAUUGUUGGAAGAAGGAUGGUUUCAGCAAAGGCCCAAGUUAGGUGACAAUUUCAAGUGUUUGUGAAGAUAUAUGAACAAAAUUAUAAAGUAGUUAGGGUAUAAGAAAUAGGGAGGAGGGAAUGAAUUAACAUUUAUGGAGUGUCUUGCAUGUUCCAAGCACUGUACUACUUGCCUUAUAAACCUUUCUUCAAUAAACGCCUACAACAAUCCUGAGA